GGCCUUCGGGUUGUACAGCCCUUUUGACCGGGACGCGGAAGGCCGGUACCGGUGGAAUAAGCCUCGGCUAACUACGCGCCAGCAGCCGCGGUAACACGUAGGAGGCGAGCGUUAUCCGGAUUUACUGGUUGUAAAGCGCGUGCAGGCGAUUAGCUAAGUUGGGUGUGAAAGCUCCUGGCUCAACUGGGAGAGGUCGCUCAAGACUGGCUGACGCGAGGAGGGGAGGGGAAGGUGGAAGUCCGGGUGUAGUGGUGAAAUGCGGAGAUAGACGGAGGAACACCAGUGGCGAAGGCGGCCUUCUGGACCAGCACUGACGCUCAGACG
RNAcentral lists this ribosomal RNA (324 nucleotides) under uncultured bacterium. Its description in RNAcentral is "bacterial SSU rRNA". It matches the Rfam family "Bacterial small subunit ribosomal RNA", at positions 413 to 753 of the family's 1533-position model. The record is from RNAcentral.